This 460-nucleotide ribosomal RNA is filed under the name uncultured bacterium. Its description in RNAcentral is "partial 16S ribosomal RNA". It matches the Rfam family "Bacterial small subunit ribosomal RNA", at positions 338 to 795 of the family's 1533-position model. The record is from RNAcentral.
CCUACGGGAGGCAGCAGUGAGGAAUAUUGGUCAAUGGACGGGAGUCUGAACCAGCCAAGUCGCGUGAAGGAAGACGGCCCUAUGGGUUGUAAACUGCUUUUGUACAGGAGUAAACCUGAGCACGUGUACCCAGCUGGAAGUACUCUACGAAUUAGGAUCGGCUAACUCCGUGCCAGCCGCCGCGGUAAUAAGGAGGAUUCCAGCGUUUUGCGGAUUUAAUGGGGUUAAAGGGUGCGUUGGGGGGUUGUUAAGGUAGGUGUGAAAUUUUCCGGGUUAAAGCGGGAACUGCCGUUGAUACUGGUGAUCUUGAGUGGAGGUGCGGUAGGCGGAAUGCGUGGUGUAGCGGUGAAAUGCUUAGAUAUCACGCAGAACACCGAUUGCGAAGGCAGCUUACCAAUCUAUGACUGACGCUGAGGCACGAAAGCGUGGGGAUCAAACAGGAUUAGAUACCCUGGUAGUC